Molecule: long non-coding RNA, 638 nt
Organism: Musa acuminata subsp. malaccensis (wild Malaysian banana)
Lineage: Eukaryota; Viridiplantae; Streptophyta; Magnoliopsida; Zingiberales; Musaceae
Source: RefSeq, a predicted model, not a curated record
UUUGGUUCGGGGGUUGAUUUGGUGAGUUCGGGUGGCAAGCAACGCAAGUUUGAUCCAUCAAACGACUGUUGAUAAUUUCCAGCAGCUGCUUCGCCUGUUAUCGCCGUGUGCGCGGAGGAGGAAGAGAGAGGAUUCAGCUGAGCCAGCAAACGAUCGACCGAUCCGGGGAUGGCGUCGUCGUUGAUGAAGUGGCUCAUCAACCCCCGUCGCAACCGGUUCGCCGCCCAGCACUACAAAGCCCUCUGCAAUCGCCUCAAGAAAUACGAGGGCUGAUGUACGACGAUCUGUACGAUCCGAUGUACGAUCUGGACAUCAAGGAGGUCCUGGCGCGGCUCCCGCGCGAGGUGGUGGACGCCAGGAACCAGCGCCUCAAGAGCGCCAUGAAUCUCUCCAUGAAGCACGAGUACCGUCCCGUGGACUUGCAGGUGAAGAAAUAGAAUGCGGAGCGUGAGGCAUUGGGGAGCUCUGCCUCUCUAUCAGUGCUCGAUUCCAUGAGAUAUCCAACAAGUUUUACUUUUAUUUGUAACUAAAUUGUAAUGGAAUAAGAGUCCACCCAGUGAAAUGGUGGCUAUUGGCUUUCCAUGUAACCUGGAUGAUUUUUAUCGGAGUUAUCAUAAACUAUGAUCUGUUUUCUGUUA